GAUGAACGCUGGCGGCGUGCCUAAUACAUGCAAGUCGAGCGAACAGACGAGGAGCUUGCUCCUCUGACGUUAGCGGCGGACGGGUGAGUAACACGUGGAUAACCUACCUAUAAGACUGGGAUAACUUCGGAAAACCGGAGCUACUACCGGAUAAUAUAUUGAACCGCAUGGUUCAAUAGUGAAAGACGGUUUUGCUGUCACUUAUAGAUGGAUCCGCGCCUCAUUAGCUAGUUGGUAAGGUAACGGCUUACCAAGGCAACGAUGCGUAGCCGACCUGAGAGGGUGAUCGGCCACACUGGAACUGAGACACGGUCCAGACUACUACGGGAGGCAGCAGUAGGGAAUCUUCCGCAAUGGGCGAAAGCCUGACGGAGCAACGCCGCGUGAAUGAUGAAGGUCUUCGGAUCGUAAAACUCUGUUAUUAGGGAAGAACAAAUGUGUAAGUAACUAUGCACGUCUUGACGGUACCUAAUCAGAAAGCCACGGCUAACUACGUG
Molecule: ribosomal RNA, 497 nt
Filed under: uncultured bacterium
Lineage: Bacteria
Description: partial 16S ribosomal RNA
Rfam family: Bacterial small subunit ribosomal RNA
Source: RNAcentral